UGUUCUCUUUAGACAUCUUCUAUUCCUCCUGCAGGAUCAACCUUGGAAUAGUUAUGAUGUGGAUGGUAUAGCUGUUACACUGGUAAAUUGACAGCCAGUUUCUGUUUGGAGUCUAAUAUCUCCCCUUUGAAACUGUAUCCUGUUCUUCCUGUAGUGUUCCUUCUGUUCUAGUUUCCUGCUGCAUUCCUCUUUUGUAACUACCUUAGAGCUAAUUGUCUUUGUCUUAAGAAGUUUAUUAGAUACUGGCACUAAAAUUUUUAUCCUUUUGCCCAUAGGUUGCUGAAGUGGUGAUUUUAAUCCAAAAGCAUGGUGGAGUACAGCAGCUGAUGCAUUGAUCGCCAUAGCAUCGAUCCUCCGAAGUGGGAAGACCCUGAGGGAAAGGAGAACCAGGAAGUGGGAUGAGUAAUGCUAAAGGAAUUAUUAGCAGCACAUACACAGAGUGGUUCAUCGUGCUUUUUCCUUUAACUGACCUGACUAGUAUAAUUGAUGUUUUAUAAGAACAGUUUUUCCUCUUUCUGUGCCUAGCACACUUAAGAAUGCACCUACUACACAUGUGAGUCUCAGUGGUAGAAGUGGAAUUUUAAAAAGAGACACUGAACUUGAAAUCAAGACACUUAAAAUAUAGGAGUUCAAAGAAGUUUGAAGUAAUACAGCUGCCCCUAAAUCCUACUGCCAAUGUUUCUUGUGCUACCAACAACACAUUCCUUGGUCACUCCUCCUUCAUCUCCCUUCUUGCUGUGUGAAAUACACACACCAAAAACCAGGAGGAAAGCGACUAUAGUGAAAUCAUGAAAAUGACUAUGCAGAAAGAGGUCCAAAAUAGCUCAGAAUUUCAGGGAGUGCUGCAAGAUACAUCAUCUUAGGAGAGCUGCUGAAGAAGUGAAUAUUGGUUGGGGCAAUGUUUAGAGAAAAACAGGGCAUUUAUUUUUAUACUUCCUGGAUAUUUAGUAUUAUUUAUUUAUAAUACUAAAUAUCCAGGAAGUAUAAAAAUAAUUUUAAAAAAUUGUAUUUUUAAGCAUCUUAGAGACAUCUAAAUGCACAGAUAAUCACUGUGAUGUUGCAUCCCAUAAUGCUUUAUAGA
This is a long non-coding RNA of Gopherus evgoodei (Goodes thornscrub tortoise), 1081 nucleotides long. RefSeq lists it as uncharacterized. NCBI's taxonomy places the organism in Eukaryota, Metazoa, Chordata, Testudines, Testudinidae. The record is from RefSeq and is a predicted model, not a curated record. The transcript is spliced from 3 exons.